ACGACCAUACCUACUGGAGAACUCGGGAUCCCGUCCGCUCUCCCAUAGAUAAGCCAGUGAGGGCCAGAUUAGUAGUUGGGUCGGUGACGACCAGCGAAUCCCUGGUGUUGUAUGUU
This 116-nucleotide ribosomal RNA is filed under the name Xylariales sp. No.14919. Lineage: Eukaryota; Fungi; Ascomycota; Sordariomycetes; Xylariales. The record is from RNAcentral.